This 1022-nucleotide ribosomal RNA is filed under the name uncultured archaeon. RNAcentral describes it as "bacterial SSU rRNA". It matches the Rfam family "Archaeal small subunit ribosomal RNA", at positions 122 to 1148 of the family's 1478-position model. The record is from RNAcentral.
UGGGAUAACCUCGGGAAACUGGGGAUAAUACCCCAUAGGUUAGGGUGGCUGGAAUGCCCCCUAGCUCAAAGGUCCGCCGCCACAGGAUGGGUCUGCGGCCGAUUAGGUUGUUGUUGGGGUAACGGCCCAACAAGCCUUUGAUCGGUACGGGUUGUGGGAGCAAGAGCCCGGAGAUGGAUUCUGAGACACGAAUCCAGGCCCUACGGGGCGCAGCAGGCGCGAAAACUUUACAAUGCGAGAAAUCGUGAUAAGGGAACCCCGAGUGCCCGUAAAUUCGGGCUGUCCGCCAGUGCAAAAAACUGGUGAAGAAAGAGCCGGGCAAGACCGGUGCCAGCCGCCGCGGUAAUACCGGCGGCUCGAGUGGUGGCCACUAUUACUGGGCUUAAAGCGUCCGUAGCUUGGUUGUUAAGUCUCCUGGGAAAUCCAUCGGCUCAACCGAUGGGCGUUCAGGAGAUACUGGCAACCUAGGGACCGGGAGAGGUGAGAGGUACUCCAGGGGUAGGAGUGAAAUCCUGUAAUCCUUGGGGGACCACCUGUGGCGAAGGCGUCUCACUAGAACGGCUCCGACAGUGAGGGACGAAAGCUGGGGGAGCAAACCGGAUUAGAUACCCGGGUAGUCCCAGCUGUAAACGAUGCGCGUUAGGUGUAUCGGUGACCACGAGUCACCGAGGUGCCGAAGGGAAACCGUGAAACGUGCCGCCUGGGAAGUACGGUCGCAAGGCUGAAACUUAAAGGAAUUGGCGGGGGAGCACCACAACAGGUGGAGCCUGCGGUUUAAUCGGACUCAACGCCGGGAAGCUCACCGGAUAAGACAGCUGAAUGAUAGCCGGGUUGAAGACUCUGCUUGACUAGCUGAGAGGAGGUGCAUGGCCGUCGUCAGUUCGUACUGUGAAGCAUCCUGUUUAAGUCAGGCAACGAGCGAGACCCACGCCAACAGUUGCCAGCAUGUCCUCCGGGAUGGUGGGGACACUGUUGGACCGCCUCUGCUAAGAAGGAGGAAGGAAUGGGCAACGGGUAGGUCA